Molecule: signal recognition particle RNA, 99 nt
Filed under: Nitrospiraceae bacterium
Lineage: Bacteria; Pseudomonadati; Nitrospirota; Nitrospiria; Nitrospirales; Nitrospiraceae
Also listed under: 1 other name
Description: signal recognition particle sRNA small type
Rfam family: Bacterial small signal recognition particle RNA
About the family: The signal recognition particle (SRP) is a universally conserved ribonucleoprotein involved in the co-translational targeting of proteins to membranes. Archaeal SRP consists of a 7S RNA and homologues of the eukaryotic SRP19 and SRP54 proteins.
Source: RNAcentral
CAUCGGGCCCUGUGCAGCAGGGUGCUGUGAACCCCGCCAGGUCCGGAAGGAAGCAACGGUAAGCAGUUAUUCUGGGUGCCGCAGGAUUACCUGCUGGCC